UACGUAGGGUGCGAGCGUUGUCCGGAAUUACUGGGCGUAAAGAGCUCGUAGGUGGUUUGUCGCGUUGUUCGUGAAAACUCACAGCUUAACUGUGGGCGUGCGGGCGAUACGGGCAGACUGGAGUACUGCAGGGGAGACUGGAAUUCCUGGGUGUAGCGGUUGGAAUGCGCAGAUAAUCAGGAGGAACACCGGUGGCGAAGGCGGGGUCUCU
This 211-nucleotide ribosomal RNA is filed under the name uncultured bacterium. Its description in RNAcentral is "partial 16S ribosomal RNA". It matches the Rfam family "Bacterial small subunit ribosomal RNA", at positions 524 to 730 of the family's 1533-position model. The record is from RNAcentral.